UCCGGGAUAGCUCAGUUGGCAGAGCACGGCACUGUUAAUGCUGUUGUCGCAGGUUCGAGCCCUGCUCCCGGAGCCA
This 76-nucleotide transfer RNA is filed under the name Ilumatobacter coccineus YM16-304. RNAcentral's name for it is "tRNA-Asn (GTT) (tRNA-Asn-GTT-1-1)". It matches the Rfam family "tRNA". Rfam says of the family: Transfer RNA (tRNA) molecules are approximately 80 nucleotides in length. Their secondary structure includes four short double-helical elements and three loops (D, anti-codon, and T loops). Further hydrogen bonds mediate the characteristic L-shaped molecular structure. tRNAs have two regions of fundamental functional importance: the anti-codon, which is responsible for specific mRNA codon recognition, and the 3' end, to which the tRNAs corresponding amino acid is attached (by aminoacyl-tRNA synthetases). tRNAs cope with the degeneracy of the genetic code in two manners: having more than one tRNA (with a specific anti-codon) for a particular amino acid; and 'wobble' base-pairing, i.e. permitting non-standard base-pairing at the 3rd anti-codon position. Lineage: Bacteria; Bacillati; Actinomycetota; Acidimicrobiia; Acidimicrobiales; Ilumatobacteraceae. The record is from RNAcentral.